GAAAUGCGAUACGUAGUGUGAAUUGCAGAAUUCCGUGAACCAUCGAAUCUUUGAACGCACAUUGCGCCCGCGGCUCCGGCCAAGGGCAUGUCUGCCUCAGCGUCGGCACACCCCCUCGUCCCCACAUCCUGGUUUUCGGAAGAGGUUGAUCGAUCGCACGAUUGAUCCCUUCUUUCCGACGACGAGGAUCCCUGGAGACGGAGCUGGUCUUCUCGCUUUCGAUAACAAGCGGGUGGACUGAAGCGGAGAGGUUUGAGCAUCGACCCCGCUCGAGGGCGACAGCUUGGUAGGUCUGUCACAGACUUUUCAUCCACUGCUGUGUCCGAGGGAUUCAUGCUGGAGACCCACUCGAAGUGACUUUUUUUCGGUCGUUUCACUUUUACAUUUUCGACCUGAGCUCAGGCAAGGCUACCCGCUGAACUUAAGC
Molecule: unclassified non-coding RNA, 427 nt
Filed under: plant metagenome
Description: partial contains 5.8S ribosomal RNA, internal transcribed spacer 2, and large subunit ribosomal RNA
Rfam family: 5.8S ribosomal RNA (bases 1-105)
Source: RNAcentral